AAAUGUUUGGAUCAUGGGGACAGAUCCCUCGUAAAUGGCAUAGCACCAUCCUCUUGGUGCUGUCCUUGCACCAAAAGUGUGAGCUGUUGCAAGAUCUGGUUGUUUAAAAUUGUGUGGUACCAAGCUAAAGAAGUCACUUUCAAGAGAUCUGGAGAAGUAAGAUGGCCAAAUAAAAGCCUCUACCAAUCAUCCUCCCCACAGGAACACCAAAUUUAAGAACUAUCUACAC
Molecule: long non-coding RNA, 229 nt
Filed under: Homo sapiens (human)
Lineage: Eukaryota; Metazoa; Chordata; Mammalia; Primates; Hominidae
Description: non-protein coding LMO7-AS1:5
Source: RNAcentral